GGCCAGCCCAAGGCCACCCCCUUGGUCACUCUGUUCCCGUCCUCCUCUGAGGAGCUCCAAGCCAAAAGGCCACACUGCUGUGUCUCAUGAGUGGCUUCUACCCGGGAGCUGUGACGGUGGCCUGGAAGGCAAACAGCACCCCUGUCACCCAGGGUACGGAAGUCACCAAGACCUCCAAACAGAGCAACAAGCACACAGCCAGAAGCGACCUGAGCCUGACACCCGACCAGUGGAGGUCCUGCAGCAGCUACAGCUGUAAGGUCACACACAAGAGAGCACUGUGGAGAAGACAGUGGCCCCUGAAGAAUGUUCU
Molecule: long non-coding RNA, 313 nt
Filed under: Homo sapiens (human)
Lineage: Eukaryota; Metazoa; Chordata; Mammalia; Primates; Hominidae
Description: non-protein coding lnc-RTCB-2:1
Source: RNAcentral